AGUGAACGCCGGCGGUAGGCCUAACACAUGCAAGUCGAACGGCAGCACAGUAAGAGCUUGCUCUUACGGGUGGCGAGUGGCGGACGGGUGAGGAAUACAUCGGAAUCUACUUUUUCGUGGGGGAUAACGUAGGGAAACUUACGCUAAUACCGCAUACGACCUACGGGUGAAAGCAGGGGAUCUUCGGACCUUGCGCGAAUGAAUGAGCCGAUGUCGGAUUAGCUAGUUGGCGGGGUAAAGGCCCACCAAGGCGACGAUCCGUAGCUGGUCUGAGAGGAUGAUCAGCCACACUGGAACUGGGACACGGUCCAGACUCCUACGGGAGGCAGCAGUGGGGAAUAUUGGACAAUGGGCGCAAGCCUGAUCCAGCCAUACCGCGUGGGUGAAGAAGGCCUUCGGGUUGUAAAGCCCUUUUGUUGGGAAAGAAAAGCAGCAGGUUAAUACCCCGCUGUUCUGACGGUACCCAAAGAAUAAGCACCGGCUAACUUCGUG
RNAcentral lists this ribosomal RNA (492 nucleotides) under uncultured bacterium. RNAcentral describes it as "partial 16S ribosomal RNA". It matches the Rfam family "Bacterial small subunit ribosomal RNA", at positions 29 to 507 of the family's 1533-position model. The record is from RNAcentral.